CUACGGCCAUACCACGUUGAAAAUACCGGUUCUCGUCCGAUCACCGAAGUCAAGCAACGUCGGGCGUGGUUAGUAAUUAAAAUUGUAGUUCCACUUGGGAACACCACGUGUUGUAG
This is a non-coding RNA of Biomphalaria pfeifferi, 116 nucleotides long. The record is from the annotation of a GenBank genome assembly. NCBI's taxonomy places the organism in Eukaryota, Metazoa, Mollusca, Gastropoda, Planorbidae.